Molecule: ribosomal RNA, 486 nt
Filed under: uncultured bacterium
Lineage: Bacteria
Description: partial 16S ribosomal RNA
Rfam family: Bacterial small subunit ribosomal RNA
Source: RNAcentral
GAUGAACGCUGGCGGCGUGCCUAAUACAUGCAAGUCGAACGCUGGAAAUCUAGCUUGCUAGAUUGAAGGAGUGGCGAACGGGUGAGUAAUACAUAAGCAACCUACCCACGAGGACUGGGAUAAUCUCUGGAAACGGGGACUAAUACCGGAUAGGUAAUCGGAAGGCAUCUUCUGAUUAUUAAAGGUUAAAAACACUGGUGGAUGGGCUUAUGGCGCAUUAGUUAGUUGGUGAGGUAACGGCCCACCAAGACGAUGAUGCGUAGCCGGCCUGAGAGGGUGAACGGCCACAUUGGGACUGAGACACGGCCCAGACUCCUACGGGAGGCAGCAGUAGGGAAUUUUCGGCAAUGGGGGAAACCCUGACCGAGCAACGCCGCGUGAGUGAUGACGGCCUUCGGGUUGUAAAGCUCUGUUGUAAGGGAAGAACGGUAGAUAGAGAAUAUCUAAAUGACGGUACCUUACCAGAAAGCCACGGCUAACUACGUG